Molecule: ribosomal RNA, 253 nt
Filed under: uncultured bacterium
Lineage: Bacteria
Description: partial 16S ribosomal RNA
Rfam family: Bacterial small subunit ribosomal RNA
Source: RNAcentral
GACGAGGGGUCCUAGCGUUGUUCGGAAUCAUUGGGCGUAAAGCGUGUGUAGGCGGCUAUUCAAGUCAGUUGUGAAAGCCCCGGGCUCAACCCGGGAAGUGCUUCUGAUACUGUUUAGCUUGAGUACUGGAGAGGAUAGUAGAAUUCCAGGUGUAGUGGUGAAAUACGUAGAUAUCUGGAAGAAUACCGGUGGCGAAGGCGGCUAUCUGGCCAUGUACUGACGCUGAGACACGAAAGCGUGGGGAGCAAACAGG